GUAGGUGGCAAGCGUUGUCCGGAAUUAUUGGGCGUAAAGCGCGCGCAGGCGGUUCGUUUAAGUCUGAUGUGAAAGCCCACGGGCUCAACCGUGGAGGGUCAUUGGAAACUGGAGAACUUGAGUACAGAAGAGGAAAGCGGAAGUUCCACGUGUAGCGGUGAAAUGCGUAGAGAUGUGGAGGAACACCAGUGGCGAAGGCGGCUUUCUGGUCUGUAACUGACGCUGAGGCGCGAAAGCGUGGGGAGCGAAACAGGAUUAGAUACCCUCGGUAGUCCACGCCGUAAACGAUGAGUGCUAAGUGUUAGGGGGUUUCCGCCCCUUAGUGCUGCAGCUAACGCAUUAAGCACUCCGCCUGGGGAGUACGACCGCAAGGUUG
Molecule: ribosomal RNA, 376 nt
Filed under: uncultured organism
Description: partial 16S ribosomal RNA
Rfam family: Bacterial small subunit ribosomal RNA
Source: RNAcentral